UACGUAGGGGGCAAGCGUUGUCCGGAAUCAUUGGGCGUAAAGGGUGCGCAGGCGGACUGGUGAGUCUGGGGUGAAAUCCCCGGGCUCAACCCGGGAACUGCGUCCGAUACUGGCAGGCUUGAAUCCGGGAGAGGGAUGUGGAAUUCCAGGUGUAGCGGUGAAAUGCGUAGAUAUCUGGAGGAACACCGGUGGCGAAGGCGGCAUCCUGGACCGGUAUUGACGCUGAUGCGCGAAAGCCAGGGGAGCAAACGGG
RNAcentral lists this ribosomal RNA (253 nucleotides) under uncultured bacterium. RNAcentral's name for it is "partial 16S ribosomal RNA". It matches the Rfam family "Bacterial small subunit ribosomal RNA", at positions 524 to 776 of the family's 1533-position model. The record is from RNAcentral.